This 2905-nucleotide ribosomal RNA is filed under the name Enterobacter roggenkampii. RNAcentral's name for it is "23S ribosomal RNA". It matches the Rfam family "Bacterial large subunit ribosomal RNA". The record is from RNAcentral. Lineage: Bacteria; Pseudomonadati; Pseudomonadota; Gammaproteobacteria; Enterobacterales; Enterobacteriaceae.
GGUUAAGCGACUAAGCGUACACGGUGGAUGCCCUGGCAGUCAGAGGCGAUGAAGGACGUGCUAAUCUGCGAAAAGCGCCGGCGAGGUGAUAUGAACCUUUGACCCGGCGAUGUCCGAAUGGGGAAACCCAGUGUGUUCCGACACACUAUCGUUAACUGAAUACAUAGGUUAACGAGGCGAACCGGGGGAACUGAAACAUCUAAGUACCCCGAGGAAAAGAAAUCAACCGAGAUUCCCCCAGUAGCGGCGAGCGAACGGGGAGCAGCCCAGAGUCUGAAUCAGCUUGUGUGUUAGUGGAAGCGUCUGGAAAGUCGCACGGUACAGGGUGACAGUCCCGUACACGAAAGCACACAGGUUGUGAACUCGAAGAGUAGGGCGGGACACGUGGUAUCCUGUCUGAAUAUGGGGGGACCAUCCUCCAAGGCUAAAUACUCCUGACUGACCGAUAGUGAACCAGUACCGUGAGGGAAAGGCGAAAAGAACCCCGGCGAGGGGAGUGAAAAAGAACCUGAAACCGUGUACGUACAAGCAGUGGGAGCACCUUCGUGGUGUGACUGCGUACCUUUUGUAUAAUGGGUCAGCGACUUAUAUUCUGUAGCAAGGUUAACCGUAUAGGGGAGCCGAAGGGAAACCGAGUCUUAACUGGGCGUUAAGUUGCAGGGUAUAGACCCGAAACCCGGUGAUCUAGCCAUGGGCAGGUUGAAGGUUGGGUAACACUAACUGGAGGACCGAACCGACUAAUGUUGAAAAAUUAGCGGAUGACUUGUGGCUGGGGGUGAAAGGCCAAUCAAACCGGGAGAUAGCUGGUUCUCCCCGAAAGCUAUUUAGGUAGCGCCUCGUGAACUCAUCUUCGGGGGUAGAGCACUGUUUCGGCUAGGGGGCCAUCCCGGCUUACCAACCCGAUGCAAACUACGAAUACCGAAGAAUGUUAUCACGGGAGACACACGGCGGGUGCUAACGUCCGUCGUGAAGAGGGAAACAACCCAGACCGCCAGCUAAGGUCCCAAAGUCAUGGUUAAGUGGGAAACGAUGUGGGAAGGCACAGACAGCCAGGAUGUUGGCUUAGAAGCAGCCAUCAUUUAAAGAAAGCGUAAUAGCUCACUGGUCGAGUCGGCCUGCGCGGAAGAUGUAACGGGGCUAAACCAUGCACCGAAGCUGCGGCAGCGACACUAUGUGUUGUUGGGUAGGGGAGCGUUCUGUAAGCCGUUGAAGGUGUGCUGUGAGGCAUGCUGGAGGUAUCAGAAGUGCGAAUGCUGACAUAAGUAACGAUAAAGCGGGUGAAAAGCCCGCUCGCCGGAAGACCAAGGGUUCCUGUCCAACGUUAAUCGGGGCAGGGUGAGUCGACCCCUAAGGCGAGGCCGAAAGGCGUAGUCGAUGGGAAACAGGUUAAUAUUCCUGUACUUGGUGUUACUGCGAAGGGGGGACGGAGAAGGCUAUGUUAGCCGGGCGACGGUUGUCCCGGUUUAAGCAUGUAGGCGGAGGUUCCAGGUAAAUCCGGUACCUUAUUAACGCUGAGGUGUGAUGACGAGGCACUACGGUGCUGAAGUAACAAAUGCCCUGCUUCCAGGAAAAGCCUCUAAGCAUCAGGUAACAUCAAAUCGUACCCCAAACCGACACAGGUGGUCAGGUAGAGAAUACCAAGGCGCUUGAGAGAACUCGGGUGAAGGAACUAGGCAAAAUGGUGCCGUAACUUCGGGAGAAGGCACGCUGAUAUGUAGGUGAAGCCCCUGCGGGUGGAGCUGAAAUCAGUCGAAGAUACCAGCUGGCUGCAACUGUUUAUUAAAAACACAGCACUGUGCAAACACGAAAGUGGACGUAUACGGUGUGACGCCUGCCCGGUGCCGGAAGGUUAAUUGAUGGGGUUAGCGGCAACGCGAAGCUCUUGAUCGAAGCCCCGGUAAACGGCGGCCGUAACUAUAACGGUCCUAAGGUAGCGAAAUUCCUUGUCGGGUAAGUUCCGACCUGCACGAAUGGCGUAAUGAUGGCCAGGCUGUCUCCACCCGAGACUCAGUGAAAUUGAACUCGCUGUGAAGAUGCAGUGUACCCGCGGCAAGACGGAAAGACCCCGUGAACCUUUACUAUAGCUUGACACUGAACACUGGUCCUUGAUGUGUAGGAUAGGUGGGAGGCUUUGAAGCGUGGACGCCAGUCUGCGUGGAGCCGUCCUUGAAAUACCACCCUUUAAUGGCUGGUGUUCUAACGUAGACCCGUAAUCCGGGUUGCGGACAGUGUCUGGUGGGUAGUUUGACUGGGGCGGUCUCCUCCCAAAGAGUAACGGAGGAGCACGAAGGUUAGCUAAUCCUGGUCGGACAUCAGGAGGUUAGUGCAAUGGCAUAAGCUAGCUUGACUGCGAGAGUGACGGCUCGAGCAGGUGCGAAAGCAGGUCAUAGUGAUCCGGUGGUUCUGAAUGGAAGGGCCAUCGCUCAACGGAUAAAAGGUACUCCGGGGAUAACAGGCUGAUACCGCCCAAGAGUUCAUAUCGACGGCGGUGUUUGGCACCUCGAUGUCGGCUCAUCACAUCCUGGGGCUGAAGUAGGUCCCAAGGGUAUGGCUGUUCGCCAUUUAAAGUGGUACGCGAGCUGGGUUUAGAACGUCGUGAGACAGUUCGGUCCCUAUCUGCCGUGGGCGCUGGAGAAUUGAGGGGGGCUGCUCCUAGUACGAGAGGACCGGAGUGGACGCAUCACUGGUGUUCGGGUUGUCAUGCCAAUGGCACUGCCCGGUAGCUAAAUGCGGAAAAGAUAAGUGCUGAAAGCAUCUAAGCACGAAACUUGCCCCGAGAUGAGUUCUCCCUGAGACUUUAAGUCUCCUGAAGGAACGUUGAAGACGACGACGUUGAUAGGUCGGGUGUGUAAGCGCAGCGAUGCGUUGAGCUAACCGAUACUAAUGAACCGUGAGGCUUAACCUU